Molecule: unclassified non-coding RNA, 328 nt
Filed under: soil metagenome
Description: partial contains 5.8S ribosomal RNA, internal transcribed spacer 2, and large subunit ribosomal RNA
Rfam family: 5.8S ribosomal RNA (bases 1-120)
Source: RNAcentral
GAUGAAGAACGUAGCGAAAUGCGAUAAGUAAUGUGAAUUGCAGAAUUCAGUGAAUCAUCGAAUCUUUGAACGCACAUUGCGCCCCCUGGUAUUCCGGGGGGCAUGCCUGUCCGAGCGUCAUUACAACCCUCAAGCUCAGCUUGGUGUUGGGCCCCGCCGCCCCGGCGGGCCCUAAAGUCAGUGGCGGUGCCGUCCGGCUCCGAGCGUAGUAAUUCUUCUCGCUCUGGAGGUCCGGUCGUGUGCUCGCCAGCAACCCCCAAUUUUUUUCAGGUUGACCUCGGAUCAGGUAGGGAUACCCGCUGAACUUAAGCAUAUCAAUAAGGGAGGA